Molecule: unclassified non-coding RNA, 281 nt
Filed under: uncultured fungus
Lineage: Eukaryota; Fungi
Description: sequence contains ITS1
Source: RNAcentral
GGGCAGACCUACGCGUUAAGGCAAGGCCUUGAUGCGGCCAAGGGGGAGUAUGUCAUUACCAUGGAUGCCGACCUGCAGAAUGAUCCGGCGGAUAUAUUGAAAAUGAUCGAAAAGAUGAAAGAAGGCCUUGAUUGUGUUUGUGGUUGGCGUAAAGCCCGCCAGGAUAAACCGCUUAAGGCCAUCCUUUCCAAAACGGGCAAUGUCAUGCAAAGGAUCUUAACGGGCAUGACGGCCCAUGAUAUUUCUUGUACGCUGCGCCUAUAUAAAAAACAUUGCAUCCC